UAUCUUAUAAUUUAUGUUAAAAUAUUAAAUUGCAAAUUUAAAGAAGUAAUGUUAUUACUAAGAUUU
This 66-nucleotide transfer RNA is filed under the name Janus megamaculatus. RNAcentral describes it as "tRNA-Cys". The record is from RNAcentral. Lineage: Eukaryota; Metazoa; Arthropoda; Insecta; Hymenoptera; Cephidae.